GAUGAACGCUGGCGGCGUGCUUAACACAUGCAAGUCGAACGAAGCAUUUGCGACAGAUUUUUUCGGAAUGAAGUUGCUUAUGACUGAGUGGCGGACGGGUGAGUAACGCGUGGGUAACCUGCCUUGUACUGGGGGAUAGCAGCUGGAAACGGCUGGUAAUACCGCAUAAGCGCACAAUGUUGCAUGACAUGGUGUGAAAAACUCCGGUGGUAUAAGAUGGACCCGCGUCUGAUUAGCUAGUUGGUGAGAUAACAGCCCACCAAGGCGACGAUCAGUAGCCGACCUGAGAGGGGGACCGGCCACAUUGGGACUGAGACACGGCCCAGAAUCCUACGGGAGGCAGCAGUGGGGAAUAUUGCACAAUGGAGGAAACUCUGAUGCAGCGACGCCGCGUGAGUGAAGAAGUAAUUCGUUAUGUAAAGCUCUAUCAGCAGGGAAGAUAGUGACGGUACCUGACUAAGAAGCUCCGGCUAAAUACGUG
Molecule: ribosomal RNA, 481 nt
Filed under: uncultured bacterium
Lineage: Bacteria
Description: partial 16S ribosomal RNA
Rfam family: Bacterial small subunit ribosomal RNA
Source: RNAcentral